RNAcentral lists this ribosomal RNA (192 nucleotides) under uncultured bacterium. RNAcentral's name for it is "partial 16S ribosomal RNA". It matches the Rfam family "Bacterial small subunit ribosomal RNA", at positions 325 to 532 of the family's 1533-position model. The record is from RNAcentral.
UCUAGAGAUUACUCCUACGGGAGGCAGCAGUGAGGAAUCUUCCACAAUGGACGAAAGUCUGAUGGAGCAAUACCGCGUGCAGGAAGACGCUUUUCGGAGUGUAAACUGCUUCUGACGUCGAAGAUUAUGACUGUAGACGAAGAAUAAGGACCGGCUAACUACGUGCCAGCAGCCGCGGUAAUAAUCGUCGAC